UUACCGUGAAAAAAUUAGAGUGUUCAAAGCAGGCAGAUCCAAUUUUCUGCCACCGAAUACAUUAGCAUGGGAUAAUGGAAUAGGACCCUGUCCUCCUAUUUUCAGUUGGUUUUGGCAGCGCGAGGACUAGGGUAAUGAUUAAUAGGGAUAGUUGGGGGCAUUAAUAUUUAAUUGUCAGAGGUGAAAUUCUUGGAUUUAUGAAAGAUUAACUUCUGCGAAAGCAUCUGCCAAGGAUGUUUUCAUUAAUCAAGAACGAAAGUUAGGGGAUCGAAGACGAUCAGAUACCGUCGUAGUCUUAACCAUAAACGAUGCCGACCAGCGAUUAGGAGACGUUGAAUACAAAACACCACCAUCGGUUGCGGUCGUCCUUGGCGUCUCGGUUUCGGCCGGGGCGCGGGGACGGUUUAGCCCGGUGGCACCGGUGAAUGACUCCUA
Molecule: ribosomal RNA, 435 nt
Filed under: Acanthamoeba castellanii
Lineage: Eukaryota; Discosea; Longamoebia; Acanthamoebidae
Description: SSU rRNA
Rfam family: Eukaryotic small subunit ribosomal RNA (bases 1-385)
Source: RNAcentral